GACGAACGCUGGCGGCGUGCUUAACACAUGCAAGUCGAACGGAAAGGCCCUGCAUUUGUGGGGUGCUCGAGUGGCGAACGGGUGAGUAACACGUGAGUAACCUGCCCUUGACUUUGGGAUAACUUCAGGAAACUGGGGCUAAUACCGGAUCGGAGUUACAGCUGCAUGGUGGGGGUUGGAAAGUUUCGGCGGUUGGGGAUGGACUCGCGGCUUAUCGGCUUGUUGGUGGGGUAGUGGCUUACCAAGGCUUUGACGGGUAGCCGCCCUGAGAGGGUGACCGGCCACAUUGGGACUGGGAUACGGCCCGGACUCCUACGGGAGGCAGCAGUGGGGAAUAUUGCACAAUGGGCGGAAGCCUGAUGCAGCAACGCCGCGUGCGGGAUGACGGCCUUCGGGUUGUAAACCGCUUUCGCCUGUGACGAAGCGUGAGUGACGGUAAUGGGUAAAGAAGCACCGGCUAACUACGUG
This 468-nucleotide ribosomal RNA is filed under the name uncultured bacterium. RNAcentral describes it as "partial 16S ribosomal RNA". It matches the Rfam family "Bacterial small subunit ribosomal RNA", at positions 28 to 507 of the family's 1533-position model. The record is from RNAcentral.